UGCAGUCUGCCCAGUGUUCCCAUGCCUCUCUCCCACUGGUGAGAGCUGAUGGUGACAGCUAGAACUCCCAAGGCCCAGCGAGUGGACCAUUAGCCAAGAGUCACACUGCCCACCACAUACCCAGUCUCUGACUCCUGAGGUCUCCUGAUCCACUUUUGUGGAAGCCCAAGGCCAGCCUCAUCAAGUGGCAGUUGCUCUGUAACUUUCUGUUCCCCCAGGAGAUCCACCCAGCCACAGUGACUGCAGAAGCCCUUCAAGAAAGGCACCAGCUGGGCCAACGAUGGAGCUCAUCCCCACCCUCAUGAUAUGAAGAAGUGUGACUGUCUACAAUGAGUCAUCAGUGGUAUUAAUCCUCCUGGUCACAGCCCAGAAGCCACAGCUUCAAGGUCUUCAACUAAGAGGGAGAGUCCCUGGUUUUGACUACUUCAGGUUUUAUAGAGUUAAGAAGCCCUAACAACCAGCGUCCUGAAACAUUAGGAAUACAGGCUUGUGUUUCAGCUUCCUGUGUUAUACUGAUGGAAACAAACAAACAAAUGCCUUAAC
RNAcentral lists this long non-coding RNA (543 nucleotides) under Mus pahari (shrew mouse). RNAcentral's name for it is "lncRNA (MGP_PahariEiJ_G0005427.1)". The record is from RNAcentral. Lineage: Eukaryota; Metazoa; Chordata; Mammalia; Rodentia; Muridae.